CAGGGGGCGGGGCUCUUCCCCCUUGGACUCUAUGGCAGAGACUGCAGGCUAGAGCGUCCCACAGGGGGCGGGGCUCUUCCCCUUGGACCCUAUGGCAGAGCCUGCAGGUGAAAGAACGAGAGAUGGAUGUGGAGAGAGAACUUGGGAUGUUUUUGUCCGUCACUUUUAUAGUUCAGUCACCCUUUGAAAUGCAUUUUCCUGAGGGUUGUGCCUAGUUAAAGUUCAUUCCUGCUGUGUGGAUGGAGUCGAGCAGUCUGGUGGUGGAAGAGGGUCCAUGCUGUUGUUUGCUAAGAUGCCGAUCUGUUUGUUCCUGCCCUUGCUCCUUGCCAAAGAAUGGCUCCUUGACAGGUGAUCGCCCAUACAUUUUGAUGCCCACUUGGCUAGAUGCAUCAGCUUGUCCUUUGUCUUUAAGAAACAUGUUCACUCCCUCCCCAGAAUUGUCUAGCAAACACUUCAGCCAUGAUUUCAACUUAAGUCCAUAACUGUAUUACACACUUUUCAUCAUAUUAUUGACCAGUGAGUUAUUAGUUUUCAGAUGAUACCUCAUAAGGCAUAUUCUGUACAAAGAUUGUUACAAUCGGGCAUAGGGUGUGAACAGAGGGGUGCAUUCCGUCACAAAUACCUAGAACGGAUGCAAUGACGCAGAUCAAGCAGUUGGGCCUGGCAUUAAGGUUUGUGCCCGCCCUUCAUUUUGGGCACACUUCUUGCUGUACAAAUUAUGUAAACACUUCUUUUCCUUGCCUCCCUUCACACAAAUAAAUGUGUCCAUUUAUCAAA
Trachemys scripta elegans is the source of this 777-nucleotide long non-coding RNA. RefSeq lists it as uncharacterized. Lineage: Eukaryota; Metazoa; Chordata; Testudines; Emydidae. The transcript is spliced from 2 exons. The record is from RefSeq and is a predicted model, not a curated record.